AUAAAUUCUGCCUAAAUACCACAGUAUAGCUCCACCUUCAGCUUAAAACAUAGAAUUUGACUCAUUUUGAAUAAAUUUUAGCCAAUGGCUAAAGAGUAAGAUACUACGUAAUCCAGUAGAGUACUACGUAGCAGCUCUGUGUCAACGUUAUAAAAGCAUCGGGAGUCUCGGCCACGCCUUGUGGCGAGUUGGGAGUUGGAUUUGCAUGAGAGUGUAGGAGGCUAGCCGUAGUUCAGCAUUAGCAUAUAGCAUUAGCAUAUCCUAGUCUUUAGCAUAGCUUUUAGUGUUAUACAUACUUAUUUAGUGUUAGCUUGGCUGUUGGAUAUUGUAGUUUAGUUACUGUUUGGCUGUUAGUGUAAUUAGGAAAGUAGUUCGGGUUUAGUGCUCCAUAUCGUGUUAGCAUGGUGAGAUGGUGUAGUGUAGUAUGGUUGCGGAGCUCUGUCGGGUUGCACUCCUUUCCGCUGGACUUAGAAAUUAGGCGCCAGUGGUUGCGUGUCUGGAAAAGAUUCAGCUCCCGCCUGGUGCUGUAGUUUGCAACCAGCAUUUUACCCGCGAUUCUGCACGUCUCCGUUCCAAGAGGGAGGCUGUGCCCACCGUGGCUCUUCCGCGAUUUAGAUGCAGCCCACCGACUCUGCUCCCCCACCAUGACGGGCUACAGUCUGAGGCUAAAUCUACCCAAGACACUGGCUGUCAGACUGAUUUAGUAAUCUGCAAGAAUGCACUUGUCCAGGCUGACGUGGUGUUACCCGUAGCAAAGAGCUCACAGCCUCAGUGUCUUGUGACACAGGGACCAUGACAGAAAUUCAUCUUCCAGAAGGUCCCAGAGCAUCCACACCUCCUGAAAAGACCACGGUGUGAGGUGUCUGCUGUUGAUUCCAGCUUCCACCUCAGUGACAGUGCAAGCUCAGUGAACUGUUCAAGGAGGCUACUGAUUCUGGCCCUGUGACACUUGGUGGUCACCACCAGGUGGUGACGUGUGAGCUGAUUCACCUGGACACUCAGCAAAAUAUGGACUCUACACCAUGAGGCAGGCACACGUUAAUAACUCUAUAAGAGCACAUAAGCCUGGCUGAUCACCUGAUAACUCCUGUCAUCUGGUUAUGACAGCAUGAGGAUGUCCUCACACACCUGUAACCUAUCAGCUCAUCUGGCAGAAUAGAGAGAAGAGACAACACCACAUCUCCUGUUCCUGGAAAGCCUUCAGCCAUCCUUCGAUGACUGAGAACCUCCAUCAGCUCUGUCUCCUGUCUGCCUACAAUUAUUAUAAUAAAUAUUGUGUUUGACAAGUU
Long non-coding RNA from Nothobranchius furzeri (turquoise killifish), 1289 nucleotides. RefSeq lists it as uncharacterized. Lineage: Eukaryota; Metazoa; Chordata; Actinopteri; Cyprinodontiformes; Nothobranchiidae. The record is from RefSeq and is a predicted model, not a curated record.